This 437-nucleotide ribosomal RNA is filed under the name uncultured Lachnospiraceae bacterium. RNAcentral's name for it is "partial 16S ribosomal RNA". It matches the Rfam family "Bacterial small subunit ribosomal RNA", at positions 341 to 792 of the family's 1533-position model. Lineage: Bacteria; Bacillati; Bacillota; Clostridia; Lachnospirales; Lachnospiraceae. The record is from RNAcentral.
ACGGGAGGCAGCAGUGGGGAAUAUUGCACAAUGGGGGAAACCCUGAUGCAGCGACGCCGCGUGAGUGAAGAAGUAUUUCGGUAUGUAAAGCUCUAUCAGCAAGGAAGAAAAAAAUGACGGUACUUGACUAAGAAGCCCCGGCUAACUACGUGCCAGCAGCCGCGGUAAUACGUAGGGGGCAAGCGUUAUCCGGAUUUACUGGGUGUAAAGGGAGCGUAGACGGUUAUGUAAGUCUGAAGUGAAAUCCCCCGGCUCAACUGGGGAACUGCUUUGGAAACUAUAUAACUAGAGUGCAGGAGAGGUAAGUGGAAUUCCUAGUGUAGCGGUGAAAUGCGUAGAUAUUAGGAGGAACACCAGUGGCGAAGGCGGCUUACUGGACUGUAACUGACGUUGAGGCUCGAAAGCGUGGGGAGCAAACAGGAUUAGAUACCCUGGUA